AACUAAACAAAUGUAUAUUAUUGAUUGGAAGUAAACACUAAAUCUGCUUUUAUACCAGCUGAUGGCGGUGUGGCACAGUUUUGUUCUUUAUCACACCCAUAACCGACCGAAACAAGGAAGAAGAGCAACAACAACGGAGGUAUCCAAAGUGGGGCUUUGUUAAAUUCUUGUGUAAAAUCUGCACAGCCGAUUGCUUUUCCUCAAGCCUUUGAUUUUUAAGGGUUACUGUCGAUUGCGUUAGCUUCAUUGCUAGCAUCAACGGUUGAAAGUACCUUCAACGACCAAAAGGAAAAAAAAAAAAAGAAAAAAAAAACAAUAACCGUAUUUGCUCGUGUGUGUGUUUUUGAAAGACCUUUGUCUUUCGAGGUGGAUUGCUUGAACACAUGAAAGUAGCAAUGGAGGUGGAUAAGCCCAAGACGAAAACAAAGAAGCUUUCAAGGUCGAGGAGGAAACAAAACAAGAGAAAAACGAAUCCUGACAAAGAAAGAGAAAAUAAGCCUGAUUCUCCGUGGGACUCUGUUCCCUCCACACACGAGACUCCCAGCAAGGCAACAAAGUUUGAAAAUGGCUGCGACUCCCUCACUCUCAUAAAAGACGCAGUUGUGGUUUUGACUAAGCUGCCCGAAUAUAAAAUCGGCGCGCUGAGACCCCCGACGCCUCCGCAGUUCUACAGCGAAGACGAGUCCUUCAGCAGCUCGGAUUCGGACACGCAGUGGGAGUCGGAGGAGGACUCCAGCGAUUCGGAUUUCUGGGUCAUAAACAGCAAACUCAAAUAUUCGAACUCCUCCAAUUGCGACCUGAUAAGGAUGCCUACAACCAGUCACAACUGCAACGGUAUCUCCCUUUGCUCGCGUGACAAGAUCCGCCCCGACUUACCCGAAGAAGAAAUUCACGUUGACAUGAUGGUUAUUGCUCGUAGAAGACCUAUGAGGUGGCAGCGUGGUAAAAUAGUUGAAAUAAUUACAAAAGACGAUGGGCGGUUGAAGUACAAGGUCAGCUUUGAAGAUAAGGGGACGUGCCUCGUAUCCGGACACCACAUUGCUUUUGACAGCAGGCCCAAGGUGGAGCAGCUCUACAUCGGGGCCCGAGUGGUGGUCCGCUGUCAAAAUAAUAAGUACCGGUUCCGACCCGGAAUACUGGCUGAGCUGCCCAGCAGGAAAAAUCAGUUCAGGUUUCUGAUGUUCAUGGAUGACCACACACCAGUUUAUGUCGGGCUUCCUUUGUUUCACAUGGUGUGCAGACCUUUGGAAGAUGUUUUGGACGACGUUCCCGACGGAGCGCACAAAUGCUUUAUGAGACAGUACCUGAAGGACUGGCCGUACCCUCACUUAAACAAGUACAGAGCUGGACAGAGCUUUAACGUGGAGCUUAAUGGAGUCAUGCAGAUGUGUGAGGUUGUUGUGAUCGACUGCAGCUUAAUGCAAGUUGUUUUUCAGGAAAAUCAGCGAAGGGAGUGGAUCUUCAGAGGCUCUGUGCGACUGGAGCACAUUGCCAGACUGUGGGAGGAGAGGAACAAGCUAGAGUCCAAGGACGACUCUGACUCUGAUUAAUCCAUAGAUGCAGUUGUUGCAGUGCGGAUGGAGAGAAAAGAAAUAGAGAUAAGCAAAGAAGAGCUCCAAAGCUUGAUCAGAGAUGAGGUUCACAAACCCAGGCUGUCCACCGCUGGCACUCUUAUGAAAUACCGGCUGCUGCAGUCUCUACUAGAAAGAAGGCAAACACUGGCAACCAGAUUUUUAAAGCUCUGUCAGUCUGUUGUGAUAUUUGAGAACACUGUGAAGGAACUGUACUCUCUGUUGGGAUGGGAGUUCACCGACUUGGAUUCUGACAGUGAGGACAGUGAAGAACCCACGAGCUGCAGGCGUACUUUACCAUUUGUGUUUGUUUCUUCGGGGGAUCGUAUUUGCAGACCUUCAGCUUCCAGGGACUCGACUUCACAGUCACCAGUGUCGGAACUUGAAGAACGUCAGGAGGAAAUUGAUAGUCAAAAAAGCCUCAGUGUCGCUUUAGAAAAAGAAGCUGUGGUGGUUUUGAGUAAACUUACAGAUUCUGAGAUUUCUGCCGCUAUCCCGCCUCUUUUGUCCGACUCUGACAGCGAUAACGAGGAUAAUUUAAGCUCUCCGGAG
RNA transcript from Poecilia latipinna (sailfin molly), 2123 nucleotides. It is a transcript of the gene named histone-lysine N-methyltransferase SETDB1-B-like, with no coding region annotated. The transcript is spliced from 11 exons. The record is from RefSeq and is a predicted model, not a curated record. NCBI's taxonomy places the organism in Eukaryota, Metazoa, Chordata, Actinopteri, Cyprinodontiformes, Poeciliidae.